AUACUUGUCAAAGUGUAAAAGGGUCCUGCAGUCUGUUUGUCGAACGCCAAUUAACCAGUUUCCUCGUUUUCUACAACUUGCCACUCGUUUUUCCAAUUUUUACCGCGUGUCAUUCGAUAUGAUGAUAUCAGAUAUCAGGAAAAUCGCUAGAUGCUAACGCUAGAAAUACCACAGCAGCGAAAAUGACUGGUUCUACAAUUUUAUAAAUUUGUCAA
RNAcentral lists this unclassified non-coding RNA (215 nucleotides) under Bombus terrestris (buff-tailed bumblebee). RNAcentral describes it as "misc RNA ENSBTSG00005037809.1". The record is from RNAcentral. Lineage: Eukaryota; Metazoa; Arthropoda; Insecta; Hymenoptera; Apidae.